UUCAAGUGUUAUUGUUAAGUGUCAUUAUCAAGCCAAUUAGAAGUGACUGGCUCUCACUCCGCAUCUCCGCUCCUCUCUUCCGGUUUGGACGCUGCAAGCUGAAUCUCAGUGUUGCCAUUGGUUUCUGCUGUGUUCUGCCAGUAGGGGCGCCAACGGGGGAGACUGAGCCAGGAGGAGAGGAAGCCGACCUCCACCCUCCUGCUUUGCUUCCGGUCUGUCUGCUUCCUGCUUGUUCCUGAGAGCACACGUGGUCUGCACAACCCUGAGGUGUUUGACAGCUCUGCUCAAUGAUGCUGAUCCCUCUGCCUACCCCUCCCCGCCACACAUACCACCUCACUGCACCAGGGUCCCUCGUGGCCACCACCCUGCCUCAGAGACCAGCUGCAGAAGUCUCCAAAUCAGCCCCAUCCUGAUCUGCUGUGGGAAGGGGGUGCCCAUCACAACGCCGCUCGGGAGCCACAGUGGUUAAGAGAACCGACCUGGAAAGCAGGUGGCUUGGCUUCAGAUCCCAGCUACCACACAGCAGCUUUGCAAAUACAGGUGCUUGCCCAACCUCCCACCAUCUGAGUUCCCCUGAGGAAGACAUCACUUCAUCCAUGGAAAGUACUCGGAACAGAGCCUGACAUGGACUAAGCAGGCAAUCAUUUGCCAAGGUUACUCAUGGUGAAUCCUUCGAUAGAAGAACCUUGUGGAGGCCGGCAAGAUAGCUCAGUGGAUAAGGGCACUUGCAGCCAAGCCUAAUGACCUGACCUGAGUUCAAUUCCUGAGACCCCCUGACUCCCUGAAGUUAUCCCCUGGCCUCCACAGACACACCAUGGCACAUGGGUGCAUGGAUGUGUACACAUACAAUAAACAAAAAUAUAACACAUUUCUUAAAAGAAUUUUUCAAAUAUCAAAAUUAACAAAUGACAGAAUAAAUAGUAAACCGACUUACAGUAUAUGAAAAUAAAAUAAAAUAAACU
This is a long non-coding RNA of Mesocricetus auratus (golden hamster), 962 nucleotides long. RefSeq lists it as uncharacterized. The record is from RefSeq and is a predicted model, not a curated record. The transcript is spliced from 3 exons. Lineage: Eukaryota; Metazoa; Chordata; Mammalia; Rodentia; Cricetidae.